UUUCACUGUGCUAUGUUUUGAUAUAGGAUUUGUUUUUACUUGUCCUGUUUUGAAUUCAUCAGGUUUACUCCAUCUGAAGAAACAUCAGCUGGGCUCCUGUGUCUUCUGGCUUAUGGAUGGGUUCGGUCAAUGGGAGGCACUGGCAGGUGGCUGGAGGGCAAGCGGAAGGAAGAAGCUGGAGUAUUUCUCUGCCCUACCUUCUCGGCUUUGAGUACAGGCAGUCUCACCAUUCCUGGCAUCCAUAAGGAUCAGCGAGAGCCGGUGAUGAUGACAGUGGGCUACCACCACCGCUACAACCCAACAACUUCAAUUCUACUCACAAGCUCUAUCAAGGAAUGGUCUCUACUGCUCUCCUAAGUUCAGAACCAGUCCUAGUGGUAACCCUGGCAGGCAUAUGAGAAGAGGAAGCAACUACCUGAAUCAGCUGACCGACUUAUUUACACCAACCAGCAACUGGGUCAGUGGGAGCAACAACAGAUGAUUCUCCCCUCGCUGCACAAUGGAAUCACCUAGAAAGCUUUAAAAACUACUGACACCUGAGUUCCACUCCCAGGGACUUUCAUUUUAAUUGGUCUGGGAUACAACCUGGACAUUGGGACUUUCUUAACUUUCUUGGGUUAUGCUAAUAUGAAGCCUAGAUUAAGAACCAUUGCUUUUGUACCUUUAUGCACCUCACAACAAACAGACUGCACUCAAGUUAGCAAGUGGGCUUUUAUGGCUAUUUAGAAUGGCCAGAGAAUACCUUCCUUUUAUCAGAGGAUGAGUAAAAACUACUGCACAUGUCAAUACUUUUACAAGCAAUGUACUCUUAGCGGUCAACAGUUUAUAUAAAAAUGUCCAGAUAUCAGUGCCCGAUGCUGUGGUUUUUGACUUUUCAGACAGAAAUGAACUGCCUACAUUCUAGUUCAUGGUAACAGUCAGACUCUAGUCAGGGAAAUGGACCCAUGAUAUAGCAAAAGGAAUUUAAUGUGGACAUUAGUUUAAAAGUGUUGGAAGAGCUGAAAGGCAAAACAAGUUUGGCAGGCAACCCAGAGAUGGGACAAAAAGAGGCUCCAUACUACCCAUAGAACUGGAGGGAAAAAGGUAAGAAACAUUUUUUACAAGCGUGCAAGGGUCUGGGCUGCCUUUGGGAGCUGGGCCUUAGAGGGAGCAGCUGCUCAACAGGAGCUGGAACCAUAGACAUGUAGCCACUGCUGGGGAUGCUUUUUAAAGCUGACAUAAGGAGAGGAAGAAACCCUGGCUUCUCCCUCCACUUGCUCUCCAAUCUCCCAUCUGUGCCUCCCAUUGGCUGAAGGCAAUAGGAAGCCAGUUGGCAAGAGAUCCUGGGAUGCAUCAUCUGUGGGCUUUUCCACCCUGAAAAACAUGGCAGUGCUGGAGGUUGGGGAUGGACCAGAAAGCAAACAGGCAAAUGACCAGGGCUUAGAUGCUGAACUGGAUACAUCCUAGAUUCUGGCUGUAGAUACCUUCCAUAUCUGCAGCUAAGUAUAUGUGGGAUAGAAUACAAAGCAACUGGAAAAUUCUGAGAGUUUUCCUCUUUUUAUUCUGUGUGGAUAGGAAAAAUUAUUCUGGAGAUAUAUAAUAGUAACUGUUCUGACAUUACCAAUGCCUCAGCUGAGAAGUUCAUACUUGGAGAAUAUGUUCCAAUAUAAAGGUCUGAAAAAUCUCUUUGACGUGCAUCAAGGAAAGAACAGAUGCAGAUUACACAGAAGAGGAAACUUUGGAUAGGUAUAGUCUCAAUGUGCAGAAUUUGACUGAUAUUGAACAGUUAGUGGUAGUGUAACAGCUGCAUUGAGGGUGCUAUUUUCAGAUAAGUAGUAAGUCUCAUUUCCACAAGCCAAUUUGCAAGAGUAAAAUUUAGAAGGAUCACUUUUUCCCCCCACUCAAAAACUACCUUGGCUAAAAGUACUGAAAAACAGUUAAGGGUGGAGUUGUCUUUGUGCAAACCUGCCCGAGGGGGUCAUAUGGGCUUCAACUCCAGGACUAACUUUCUACCUACUGAUGGUCAUACUAUUGUUUAGAAGGAUCUUGCUUAUUCCAAAGCAGCACACUUGGUUAAGACAGAUGAGUCUGGUCCCAGAUGGACCAUCUGGCUGGAACACCGACGAGAGAUACGCCUUGAUGAAUUUGGAUGACGUCAUAGAUGCAGAUCCAGCAACUGUAUCAUUUUCCUAAGGAAGCAUUAAUCUGAGUCAGGUGGAAAGACAAACUAUUUUAUUAUCUCUCCCUUGAGCUGUAAGAAGAUUAGAAAGAAUAAGAUAACUCCAGGAGGAUUAUAAUUUAGUCUUAGUUGUCUAGUCAUGACUCUUGUGAUUGAGAUGACUGUUACAGUGGAUUAAACUCAAUUAUUUUAGUGUUUUGUAUUUCUUUUUCAAAAUGAGAUUUCUCCAGAACUUGGUGGUUUGACUUCCUGAAGGCCCAUCUUGUAAGGUUCAGGGAGCCUGCUCCAGUGGGCAGCAGAAGAGAGGCUACAAGUUGAAGAAUGAUCAGGAUAACACUUUAGGCAGUAGUCUGCUCUGAAAAUACAAGGCAUAGAACAAUACUUGCUCUGGAAAAACUCACUAUCGGCCAACCAGUAACCAUGACCAUGACCGUAUUUGUGAAUCAGGGUGGUUGGCUGUUGAGGCAAUACUUCUAGACUGGGAGUAACUUUUGGAGGACCUGGUCUUAGAGGACAUACUAACAACACAGGAGAAUACAGUAAGUACAAUCAAGGCAGUAAAAGUCCUAACAUCAAGAUGAACAUGGCCUGCUCCCAAUUUAUUCCACAUACAGAAUUUAUUUGGCCUCCACCUCUGUGUAGUUCCAGAAUGCAUUUUUCUACUGAUUAUUCAGUUUCAAAAAAUCCAGAGCUUUAAACGAUUAGGUUAGUCAGAAAAUAUGUCAAUCCUUUAACAGCAUCUCCUGGGGCACACGGUAUUUCCUUCAACUCCUGGCUUCCAAGAAGAGAUGGAGUCCUUGCCUUGACAAGUUGAUUUUCUUUGCCUAGGCUCAACCAAUAGUCAUGAUAGGUAGAGGCACAAUGUGAAUUGUGUUUCGUUGACAGGGUUAUUAUGUCCACUGAAGACUUGAAGGGUUGUUUGCUAGUACAAGAACUUUCUUGCAUGGAGUAUGUAUCUAAGUUUUGCAUCCUAAACACUGUAUGGUGUGUGAAUCUCCAGAAAUGCCUGAUAUGGUCCAACAUAGUAAAUAUCCAACAGCAUUUUUCAUUGGUUCUCCUAGUUGUUGUGACCCUUAUUUUCUUGAAGGCAAAAGGUAAGCUUUUAGAAUAUUUAAAUUUUAUGUUGCUAAAGACUUUAGUUAAUUGAUUCAUGAAAAUUCCCUUUCAUCUCUUACCUACUCCUGCACUUUGGGGAGUAACAAGGACAGGGCCAGAGUUAUUGUUGUGUGUUAAAGAAUUCACUGAUUUAUUUUACAUCAAGACCUAUGACAUAGAUCCCUUUGUCACAGGCAAUAGAAACAGGCAAUUCACACUGAGGAAUGAAAUCAUUCCGAAGUUUUUCUAUAACUCAACACAAUCAGCUUUCCUGCAAGGAUAGUCUUCUCUUCAUCUAGAAAUUUACAUAUUUAUACAAAACUCAUAGUUGUUUUUAUCUUUGUUCUCUGUUUUGGCUCCAUCCUGGUUUCCAGUGAUAUUUUCCCUAAUUCAGUGUGGAAAUGAGGCUUUUAUAUGUACUUCCUUCUAUAAAUGUGACACUGUAAUAAAAGAGUGGUUUAUUGUCCUUGAUAAUCUCAUUUGGCUCCAGCAUAGUUCUUUGAGAUAAUUCCCUUGCUGGCUGGUUGUAUUCCGAAUGUGCAGACCAUAUUAUGCUUUCCUAAUCUAAAUUAUGCAGAGAACCAGACCCUUCCUUUCC
Molecule: long non-coding RNA, 3851 nt
Filed under: Equus caballus (horse)
Lineage: Eukaryota; Metazoa; Chordata; Mammalia; Perissodactyla; Equidae
Description: lncRNA (ENSECAG00000055834.1)
Source: RNAcentral